Molecule: long non-coding RNA, 589 nt
Organism: Rosa rugosa (rugosa rose)
Lineage: Eukaryota; Viridiplantae; Streptophyta; Magnoliopsida; Rosales; Rosaceae
Exons: 4
Source: RefSeq, a predicted model, not a curated record
ACAGUGCGGUCUUAACACUCUCAAUCACCUUACCAAAAUUUAUAUAUGACCUAGCUCUCUCGAAAUGAGAUGGAAGGCUAAAUCUUCUCAGAGACGUCGUCCAUGUUUGGUCUCUGUAACCUCGCUCACCUUGGAUUGCUUCAUCUUCUCCUCUAUAUCUAUAUGUAGCCUUCAAGGAGGAGAUCAAGGAAUUCGAGAUCCGAUACGCUCUGCCGGGGGUUUCGACAUCGAUCAAUUAUCAGAUGCUGUUGGGGCUUCGAUUCGGUGCAUUUGACACCCUUCUCUGACUUCUUCUUGUUGGACUGCGCAGGACGCACCGCCUUAAACGAGCUCUCAUCUCAAGACUGUAUGAAUAUUCAGACGCGUGAAAUAGGUUGUGAUUCAGCUGAGGCUUUGGUUGAAGGCAAAUUUUAAGCUUUGCAAAAUUUGGUUUGAUAUGGGCGAAUAUGGGAGAAUGAGUUAGGAAAAUGUGAAUACAAAAAUUGUAUUUAGGCCAGAUGUUUCUAUGGGGUUGUUCUCUGAACACUGCUUUGGGGCCACCUUACCAGGUUUCAGUAGAUACCAACUUUAUCAAUUUCUCGACCUAGUC